GAAGGUCGAGAUGGACCAUGUUGGGCCCCUUCUCUCCCCGUCCCCAGGCCGCAGUUCGGGGGCCACGCCCCGGCGUGCUCGGGUCACCGCGGGAAGCCCUUGAACCCCCUGGCGCCCGGCACCCACGUGCGGUAACCGCGGCUCCUCGAGAGCUCCAGGGAUGCGGAUCUACAGUAAGGGCUGUGGCCAGAUGAAUGAAUGCACAUUUUUUAGUGGGCAGAAAGAUGUUAGAAUUCAUGAAUUAGAAUAAGCACAAAGGAGGGCGAGAGGGGAGGCCGUGGAAGCCGCAUUCCUCCCCUUGCCUUGGGCGCCCACCCCCGAAGGGGCGCGUCCCCUCCCUGCUCCACUGCACGUGGGUGUUUAACCAGGGGAUAUCCAGUGCCUCAAGCACCACGACCCGGGAGAAAACUGAGUUGAGAAGUGUCCAUUCAAGAAUUGUGCCCACAAUAUACCAGGCACUUGUCCAGACCUGCAUCGUCCAAUGCCCACCUCGACCUCCCAAAGUGUUGGGAUUAGAGGCGUGAGCCACCGCGCCCUGCCUGCAUGUGGCUAUUGAGAUGUGCUGUAUGAUACACACUGGACUUUGAAGACUCAGUGUGAAAAAUGAAAAGAAUUUUAAGAGGGGUGGGGGUCGAGGGGAGGCAGAGCAGUAGGACAAAUAGCUAAUGCACGCAGGGCUUAACACCUAGACAACAGGUUGAUGGGUGCAGCAAACCACCAUGACACAUGUUUAUCUAUAUAGCACCUACAUGUUCUGCACUUGGAUCCUGGAACUUAAAAUUAGAAAAAAAAAAUAAUAAAAGCCAACAUGGCAUUCAUUACUGCCAAAAAAAAUUA
Molecule: non-coding RNA, 837 nt
Filed under: Pan troglodytes (chimpanzee)
Lineage: Eukaryota; Metazoa; Chordata; Mammalia; Primates; Hominidae
Source: RNAcentral